Molecule: long non-coding RNA, 729 nt
Organism: Wyeomyia smithii (pitcher-plant mosquito)
Lineage: Eukaryota; Metazoa; Arthropoda; Insecta; Diptera; Culicidae
Exons: 3
Source: RefSeq, a predicted model, not a curated record
GAACUCUAUACAGUAUCGGAAGUGCGGCCUUGCCUUCAUCCGCGGUUUUCGAAUGAUAUCGAACCAGUGACAAAAUAGAAACCAUUUUCGCAAGCUAGGCUAGUUACGUUAGUGCCAAAUAAAAAGAAAAAGCCGUUCGACGGCUUUUUAUCUUUAGUUUAGCCAAUCGACCGUCGCCGCAUUUUACCGUUGGGUUUACGGUGUGCAAAUUACCGCCCAACCGUCAACUGGGCUAGAGGGCCGCGCCGUCACCAUCGCGCCCGCAUCAGACGAUCAACGAGAUCACGCCAAUUCGCCAGGACCGAGUCCACCCUGCUAGGUGGCUUAGGAUAGCAUCAGCAGCAGAGAACACACAAAGACCUCAUCGCAUUGCUUGCUGCUCAUCGUUCGUGCUAUCAUCACGCGCUGUAAGGCACAGCCAGAGGUAUUUCAACCAGCAGUAUUGUUACAGGCCUGUAAGCUGUAAGUACCAGAGCUCUUUUUUUAUUGUCCGUGUGCACAUGCGACCGUCGGCUUAAGAAUGCCGAUCAAUGAGAAUUAAAAUCGAAUUUGGCUAAGCCAAGCGCCUGCGGACCAAUAUUAAUAAUGUUCUGUUCGGCGAAAGACAAUGGUCUGGACUGUAUAGCUAAGGAAAGACACGCACAGAUAGCUAGAAAAGUUACGUUGUAGAAUAGAAUGACGAAAUAAGUGUUGUUAAUGAACCUGUAAACAUAUUUAAAUCAUUGCUUA